CGCCUGGCCUCAAAUAUGCAAAGUUUUACAUUUAAUUUAUUUUAGAAAUUAUAGAGAGGGGGACCAUCUACUCACAUCUUAUAGACCAAGAAAACUGUGAGAUCAUUCCUGUUGACAGCAGGGCCAUCAUCUGCUUUGGUGAAUAAUGUGUUCCCAGCCACCUAAAAGCCGAACAAAAUUGCUAGGAUUACAGGCGUGAGUCACCGCGCCCAGCCUUGCAUGAGUCAUUUUUAGCUCCCUGGAUCAUGAGCCUUGUCAAUCUCCUUGACCCCUGAACCCAUGUGGGUCCUGCUAUGAGGAGAUGAGGGCAGCCAGGGGUCUGACA
RNAcentral lists this long non-coding RNA (325 nucleotides) under Homo sapiens (human). RNAcentral describes it as "non-protein coding lnc-CRX-6:1". The record is from RNAcentral. Lineage: Eukaryota; Metazoa; Chordata; Mammalia; Primates; Hominidae.